Molecule: ribosomal RNA, 612 nt
Filed under: Emericellopsis maritima
Lineage: Eukaryota; Fungi; Ascomycota; Sordariomycetes; Hypocreales; Bionectriaceae
Description: partial large subunit ribosomal RNA
Rfam family: Eukaryotic large subunit ribosomal RNA
Source: RNAcentral
UUAAGCAUAUCAAUAAGCGGAGGAAAAGAAACCAACAGGGAUUGCCCUAGUAACGGCGAGUGAAGCGGCAACAGCUCAAAUUUGAAAUCUGGCACUUGUGCCCGAGUUGUAAUUUGUAGAGGAUGCUUUUGGCGACGCGCCUUCCGAGUUCCCUGGAACGGGACGCCAUAGAGGGUGAGAGCCCCGUCCGGUCGUGCGCCUAGCCUCUGUAAAGCUCCUUCGACGAGUCGAGUAGUUUGGGAAUGCUGCUCUAAAUGGGAGGUAUACGUCUUCUAAAGCUAAAUACCGGCCAGAGACCGAUAGCGCACAAGUAGAGUGAUCGAAAGAUGAAAAGCACUUUGAAAAGAGGGUUAAAUAGUACGUGAAAUUGCUGAAAGGGAAGCGCUUAUGACCAGACUUGGGCGCGGCGGAUCAUCCGGCGUUCUCGCCGGUGCACUCCACCGCCCCAGGCCAGCAUCAGUUCGCGCCGGGGGACAAAGGCUUCGGGAAUGUGGCUCCCUCGGGAGUGUUAUAGCCCGUUGCGUAAUACCCUGGUGCGGACUGAGGUCCGCGCUCUGCAAGGAUGCUGGCGUAAUGGUCAUCAGUGACCCGUCUUGAAACACGGACCAAGGA